GGGUUGUGAGGUUAAGCGACUAAGCGUACACGGUGGAUGCCCUGGCAGUCAGAGGCGAUGAAGGACGUGCUAAUCUGCGAUAAGCGUCGGUAAGGUGAUAUGAACCGUUAUAACCGGCGAUUUCCGAAUGGGGAAACCCAGUGUGUUUCGACACACUAUCAUUAACUGAAUCCAUAGGUUAAUGAGGCGAACCGGGGGAACUGAAACAUCUAAGUACCCCGAGGAAAAGAAAUCAACCGAGAUUCCCCCAGUAGCGGCGAGCGAACGGGGAGCAGCCCAGAGCCUGAAUCAGUGUGUGUGUUAGUGGAAGCGUCUGGAAAGGCGCGCGAUACAGGGUGACAGCCCCGUACACAAAAAUGCACAUAUUGUGAGCUCGAUGAGUAGGGCGGGACACGUGGUAUCCUGUCUGAAUAUGGGGGGACCAUCCUCCAAGGCUAAAUACUCCUGACUGACCGAUAGUGAACCAGUACCGUGAGGGAAAGGCGAAAAGAACCCCGGCGAGGGGAGUGAAAAAGAACCUGAAACCGUGUACGUACAAGCAGUGGGAGCACGCUUCGGCGUGUGACUGCGUACCUUUUGUAUAAUGGGUCAGCGACUUAUAUUCUGUAGCAAGGUUAACCGAAUAGGGGAGCCGAAGGGAAACCGAGUCUUAACUGGGCGUUAAGUUGCAGGGUAUAGACCCGAAACCCGGUGAUCUAGCCAUGGGCAGGUUGAAGGUUGGGUAACACUAACUGGAGGACCGAACCGACUAAUGUUGAAAAAUUAGCGGAUGACUUGUGGCUGGGGGUGAAAGGCCAAUCAAACCGGGAGAUAGCUGGUUCUCCCCGAAAGCUAUUUAGGUAGCGCCUCGUGAAUUCAUCUCCGGGGGUAGAGCACUGUUUCGGCAAGGGGGUCAUCCCGACUUACCAACCCGAUGCAAACUGCGAAUACCGGAGAAUGUUAUCACGGGAGACACACGGCGGGUGCUAACGUCCGUCGUGAAGAGGGAAACAACCCAGACCGCCAGCUAAGGUCCCAAAGUCAUGGUUAAGUGGGAAACGAUGUGGGAAGGCCCAGACAGCCAGGAUGUUGGCUUAGAAGCAGCCAUCAUUUAAAGAAAGCGUAAUAGCUCACUGGUCGAGUCGGCCUGCGCGGAAGAUGUAACGGGGCUAAACCAUGCACCGAAGCUGCGGCAGCGACGCUUAUGCGUUGUUGGGUAGGGGAGCGUUCUGUAAGCCUGCGAAGGUGUGCUGUGAGGCAUGCUGGAGGUAUCAGAAGUGCGAAUGCUGACAUAAGUAACGAUAAAGCGGGUGAAAAGCCCGCUCGCCGGAAGACCAAGGGUUCCUGUCCAACGUUAAUCGGGGCAGGGUGAGUCGACCCCUAAGGCGAGGCCGAAAGGCGUAGUCGAUGGGAAACAGGUUAAUAUUCCUGUACUUGGUGUUACUGCGAAGGGGGGACGGAGAAGGCUAUGUUGGCCGGGCGACGGUUGUCCCGGUUUAAGCGUGUAGGCUGGUUUUCCAGGCAAAUCCGGAAAAUCAAGGCUGAGGCGUGAUGACGAGGCACUACGGUGCUGAAGCAACAAAUGCCCUGCUUCCAGGAAAAGCCUCUAAGCAUCAGGUAACAUCAAAUCGUACCCCAAACCGACACAGGUGGUCAGGUAGAGAAUACCAAGGCGCUUGAGAGAACUCGGGUGAAGGAACUAGGCAAAAUGGUGCCGUAACUUCGGGAGAAGGCACGCUGAUAUGUAGGUGAGGUCCCUCGCGGAUGGAGCUGAAAUCAGUCGAAGAUACCAGCUGGCUGCAACUGUUUAUUAAAAACACAGCACUGUGCAAACACGAAAGUGGACGUAUACGGUGUGACGCCUGCCCGGUGCCGGAAGGUUAAUUGAUGGGGUCAGCGCAAGCGAAGCUCUUGAUCGAAGCCCCGGUAAACGGCGGCCGUAACUAUAACGGUCCUAAGGUAGCGAAAUUCCUUGUCGGGUAAGUUCCGACCUGCACGAAUGGCGUAAUGAUGGCCAGGCUGUCUCCACCCGAGACUCAGUGAAAUUGAACUCGCUGUGAAGAUGCAGUGUACCCGCGGCAAGACGGAAAGACCCCGUGAACCUUUACUAUAGCUUGACACUGAACAUUGAGCCUUGAUGUGUAGGAUAGGUGGGAGGCUUUGAAGUGUGGACGCCAGUCUGCAUGGAGCCGACCUUGAAAUACCACCCUUUAAUGUUUGAUGUUCUAACGUUGACCCGUAAUCCGGGUUGCGGACAGUGUCUGGUGGGUAGUUUGACUGGGGCGGUCUCCUCCUAAAGAGUAACGGAGGAGCACGAAGGUUGGCUAAUCCUGGUCGGACAUCAGGAGGUUAGUGCAAUGGCAUAAGCCAGCUUGACUGCGAGCGUGACGGCGCGAGCAGGUGCGAAAGCAGGUCAUAGUGAUCCGGUGGUUCUGAAUGGAAGGGCCAUCGCUCAACGGAUAAAAGGUACUCCGGGGAUAACAGGCUGAUACCGCCCAAGAGUUCAUAUCGACGGCGGUGUUUGGCACCUCGAUGUCGGCUCAUCACAUCCUGGGGCUGAAGUAGGUCCCAAGGGUAUGGCUGUUCGCCAUUUAAAGUGGUACGCGAGCUGGGUUUAGAACGUCGUGAGACAGUUCGGUCCCUAUCUGCCGUGGGCGCUGGAGAACUGAGGGGGGCUGCUCCUAGUACGAGAGGACCGGAGUGGACGCAUCACUGGUGUUCGGGUUGUCAUGCCAAUGGCACUGCCCGGUAGCUAAAUGCGGAAGAGAUAAGUGCUGAAAGCAUCUAAGCACGAAACUUGCCCCGAGAUGAGUUCUCCCUGACUCCUUGAGAGUCCUGAAGGAACGUUGAAGACGACGACGUUGAUAGGCCGGGUGUGUAAGCGCAGCGAUGCGUUGAGCUAACCGGUACUAAUGAACCGUGAGGCUUAACCUUACAACGCCGAAGCUGUU
This 2930-nucleotide ribosomal RNA is filed under the name Escherichia coli. Its description in RNAcentral is "bacterial LSU rRNA". It matches the Rfam family "Bacterial large subunit ribosomal RNA". The record is from RNAcentral. Lineage: Bacteria; Pseudomonadati; Pseudomonadota; Gammaproteobacteria; Enterobacterales; Enterobacteriaceae.